UACGAAGGGGGCUAGCGUUGCUCGAAAUCACUGGGCGUAAAGGGUGCGUAGGCGGGUCUUUAAGUCAGGGGUGAAAUCCUGGAGCUCAACUCCAGAACUGCCUUCGAUACUGAGAGUCUCGAGUCCGAGAGAGGUGAGUGGAACUGCGAGUGUAGAGGUGAAAUUCGUAGAUAUUCGCAAGAACACCAGUGGCGAAGGCGGCUCACUGGCUCGGUACUGACGCUGAGGUGCGAAAGCGUGGGGAGCAAACAGG
This 253-nucleotide ribosomal RNA is filed under the name uncultured bacterium. RNAcentral describes it as "partial 16S ribosomal RNA". It matches the Rfam family "Bacterial small subunit ribosomal RNA", at positions 524 to 776 of the family's 1533-position model. The record is from RNAcentral.